GAUGAACGCUGGCGGCGUGCUUAACACAUGCAAGUCGAACGAACCUUCGGGUUAGUGGCGGACGGGUGAGUAACGCGUGGGAAUCUGCCCUCAGGAGGGGGAUAACGGCUGGAGACGGCCGCUAAUACCCCAUAUGCCGAGAGGUGAAAUGAAUUUCGCCUGAGGAUGAGCCCGCGUCUGAUUAGCUAGUUGGUGAGGUAAGAGCUCACCAAGGCAUCGAUCAGUAGCUGGUCUGAGAGGAUGAUCAGCCACACUGGGACUGAGACACGGCCCAGACUCCUACGGGAGGCAGCAGUGGGGAAUUUUCCGCAAUGGGCGAAAGCCUGACGGAGCAACGCCGCGUGAGGGAUGAAGGCCUCUGGGCUGUAAACCUCUUUUCUCAAGGAAGAAGAUCUGACGGUACUUGAGGAAUAAGCCACGGCUAAUUCCGUGCCAGCCGCCGCAGUAAC
RNAcentral lists this ribosomal RNA (449 nucleotides) under uncultured cyanobacterium. RNAcentral describes it as "bacterial SSU rRNA". It matches the Rfam family "Bacterial small subunit ribosomal RNA", at positions 28 to 524 of the family's 1533-position model. The record is from RNAcentral. Lineage: Bacteria; Bacillati; Cyanobacteriota.